AUGGGGAGACCUAUUGUUGAUUAUUUUGGUGCCCAUGAUGGUCUGCAAGGGAACAAGGAUUUGGUUUCUACUUUUAUUGUUGAUGGUUCUUGGGUGCUUCCUGAUCUACUUCAACUUCACUUUCUAGCUUUAUGUAAUAAAAUUGAGCAGGUCCCUCUUGCUACUAAUGCUUCGAUGGAGGACACUCUUAUUUGGAUGCCUUCGUCUACAGGAGAUUUGAUUGCAAAGCAUGCUUACCAAUUUUUACGGCAUCCAUCUCCCUCCAUGCCUUGGAGUUUUGGUGCAGAGUGUCAAUUGGGAAGAGCUCCAAGAAUUAUUGAGGUUGUUUGGCAUCCUCCAGUCAUUGGGUGGGUGAAGAUUAAUUCGGAUGGAGCUUGGAAGCAUGCAGAGGGUGUUGGAGGUUUUGGUGCUGUUUUUCGUGACUUUAAAGGUCAUGUUCUUGGUGCUUUUUCUUCCAACAUUGACAUUCCUAGUUCAGUAGCAGCAGAGGUGAUGGCAGUUAUAGUUGCUAUUGAGCUUGCUUGGGUACGAGACUGGAAGCAUAUUUGGUUAGAGGUUGACUCGUCACUUGUGUUAGACUAUCUACGGUCUCCUUUGCUUGUACCUUGGCAUCUACGUGUCCGUUGGCUUAAUUGUUUACGUUGCAUAUCGAAUAUGACAUUUCGAUCUUCUCAUAUUUUUCGUGAAGGGAAUAAGGUUGCAGAUGCUCUGGCUAAUCAUGACUACUUCUCAGAUCAAAGAGCAACACUUGCACUGCCGGAAAUGGCUUCCUCAAGAUUUAUUUUCUUCCUUUCUUCUGGUGUUCUUGUACUCGUGAUGUUCACUCGAGCCCUAGCUCAGCCAGCUUUUCUAAACAGCUUCUGUUUAAAUGAUAAAGGCAACUACACCACUAACAGUACCUACCAAAGAAACCUCAACGCCCUACUCACCUCCCUUCCGGCCUCAAACAACAAUACCGGCUACGGCUUUUACUAUUCGUUCAACGGCGAAAACCCUAAUCGAGUUUAUGCAAUCGGACACUGCAGAGGCGACAUCGCCACCGAUGAUUGUCGUAGUUGCCUCAACGACUCUAGAGUUGGUCUCACAAAGCUUUGUCCCAACCAGAAAGAAGCUAUUGGUUGGUACGACGGUUGCAUGUUACGGUACUCGAACCGCUCUAUCUAUGGCGUUAUGGAAACUGAGCCUAAUUUCGGUCUGGUCAAUAGCCAGGACGUAGCAUCAUCUAUUUCAGAAGUAUUCUUUCAACAGCUUGAAAAGUUAAUGGAAAGCUUGAAGAGUCAAGCUUCUUUGGCCGGUCCUCUUCGUAAGUUUGCCAGCGGAAACACGACCGCAGGAACUUUCCAAAAUAUAUAUGCACUUACGCAGUGCACGCCAGACUUAUCGGAGAAAAAUUGCAGUGAUUGCUUGGAGGGUGCUUUCGGACAAUACACCGCGUUUGGUCUGAGAAAGAUAGGUGGGAGAAUUAUUAGACCCAGCUGUAUUUUUUGGUAUGAGAUUAGAAGCUUCAUUGACCCAGCAAAUGUGGUACCACUGCCAUCACCACCAUCACCAUCACCAUCAUCAACAUCUCCUCCCCAACCAUCAACCAAUACUACCGCACCCGGAGUCAUCAUUGUUGUUGCGUCUAUCGGUACUUUGCUGGUGGCUCUGAUUAUAUCCAUUUGCAUAUGUUUAAGAGUAAGGAAGACCCAGGAAAAGCUAGAGAAAAAGAUAAUUCCAGGUGAAGAUGUUGAUGACAUUCAAAGUUCAGAAGCCUUGCAAUUUGACUUUGACACCAUUAGAGAUGCUACAGAUAACUUUUCAGAUGCAAAUAAACUUGGAGAAGGGGGAUUCGGUUCUGUUUACAAGGGUCACCUUCUCAAUGGAGAAGUUAUAGCAGUGAAAAGACUUUCUAAAGAUUCUGGGCAAGGAAUUUCAGAAUUUAAAAACGAGGUCUUGUUAGUGGCCAAGCUUCAACAUCGGAAUUUAGUAAGGCUUCUGGGUUUCUGCUUGGAAGGAAAUGAAAAGCUUCUUGUUUAUGAAUUUGUCCCGAAUACAAGUCUCGAUCAUAUUAUAUUUGACCCAAUUAAGCGUACACAAUUGGAUUGGGACAGACGCUACAAAAUCAUAGUGGGAUUGCUCGAGGGCUCCUUUACCUUCAUGAAGAUUCUCGACUUCGAAUUAUUCAUCGUGACCUCAAAGUUAGUAACAUCUUGUUAGAUGCAGAACUAAAUCCUAAAAUUGCAGAUUUUGGAAUGGCAAGAUUGUUCGUACCUGAUCAGACUCAAGGCAAUACGAGUCGAAUUGUCGGGACCUAUGGCUAUAUGGCUCCAGAAUAUGCAAUGCAUGGACAAUUCUCGGUCAAGUCUGAUGUCUAUAGUUUCGGCGUGUUAGUUUUAGAGAUCAUCACUGGACAAAAGAAUAGUUGUUUUCGACCUGGAGGGAAUGCAGAGGAUCUUCUAAGCUAUGCAUGGAAAAGUUGGAAGGAAGGGACAGCUGCAAAUCUAAUAGAUCCCACAUUGAGGAAUGGCUCGAGAUUUGAAAUAAUGAGAUGCAUCCACAUUGGAUUAUUAUGUGUACAAGAUAAUAUAGUUGAUAGGCCAACAAUGACUUCGAUUAGUAUCAUGCUGAAUAGCUACUCUCUUGCUCUCCCAGUACCCUCAUCACCCAACUUUUUUAUGACGAGCAGGACUGAUCCACUACUGGAAAUGGACUACUCUUCUACGGUGAUUGAGUCCGAUCAAUCAAAAAGCAGCAGCUCCUUGAUCAAUGCAUCAGUCCAUGACGAUUCAACUGAAAUAUUCCCUCGCUAUCACUUAGAUGUUUCUGGUAUUAGCUUACUGAGUUUUCUACGUCACAAGGGAAACAGGGGUCAUAAUGUUUACACUUUGAAUUUUGAGAUGGGUAGCGGAAAGAAGAAAAUUGACAUAGAGCCGAUCUCAGACUACCAGUCUCGCAUGGUGGCUUUCACCAGGAGACGAACAGGUCUCUUCAAAAAAGCACAGAAGCUCGAAGACAUAUCUGGUUCAUCCAUUGCCAUUGCUGUGAUAUCCGAGACCGGUCAACCUUACCUCCACGGCUCUCCUUCCUUGCUUGAACGAGCUCUUGCCUCCACCACCACUGCUGCCUCUUCCUCCACAGCUACUUCCACCACCACAUUUGAAGCAACUGGCUCUUCCACCACUACCGCCGCUACGGGAACUUUUGAAGAACUCAAGGCUUUGGUGAACACUGAAGUUGAGGCUUGUACUAGUCCGGAAGAAAAAGAGCGUUUGAAAAGGAAAUUGUUGGAUUACAUAAGCAGGCUGGAUGAAAAACUUUGUGAAAGUGAUCGAUUUUCAACGAGGAACUGA
Molecule: RNA transcript, 3332 nt
Organism: Fragaria vesca subsp. vesca
Lineage: Eukaryota; Viridiplantae; Streptophyta; Magnoliopsida; Rosales; Rosaceae
Gene name: cysteine-rich receptor-like protein kinase 29-like
Exons: 11
Source: RefSeq, a predicted model, not a curated record